AGCUUUUUGUAUCCCAGCUGAGAUUUCGUCAGCGAACAACCUGCUGGGGCUGAUGCAACUCCCCAAAUAUGUGAAGUG
This is a non-coding RNA of Trichobilharzia regenti, 78 nucleotides long. NCBI's taxonomy places the organism in Eukaryota, Metazoa, Platyhelminthes, Trematoda, Strigeidida, Schistosomatidae. The record is from Rfam.